This 565-nucleotide small RNA is filed under the name Pan troglodytes (chimpanzee). Its description in RNAcentral is "retained intron". Lineage: Eukaryota; Metazoa; Chordata; Mammalia; Primates; Hominidae. The record is from RNAcentral.
UAACAUAGCAAUAGCCUGACACAGAAGACUGCACCUGAUAGUUGUCUUAGCACAUCUCAAAAUUAAAUGUGUAUGAAUAGACUACUUUUUCAAGACAAUGCUAUUUCCUGAGACGUAGUACUUUUUCUGCUAACUCCAUUCUUUGAUGCAUACUUUCUGUCAGUCAAUGCUGAGGAUCCUCCUAUGGUUGUGGUCCGAAAAUUUGUCCACCUGCUGGACCAAAGUGACCAGGAUUUUCAGGAGGAGCUUGACCUUAUGAAGAUGCGGGAAGAGGUUAUCACCCUCAUUCGUUCUAACCAGCAGCUGGAGAAUGACCUCAAUCUCAUGGAUAUCAAAAUUGGACUGCUAGUGAAAAAUAAGAUUACGUUGCAGGAUGUGGUUUCCCACAGUAAAAAACUUACCAAAAAAAAUAAGGAACAGUUGUCUGAUAUGAUGAUGAUAAAUAAACAGAAGGGAGGUCUCAAGGCUUUGAGCAAGGAGAAGAGAGAGAAGUUGGAAGCUUACCAGCACCUGUUUUAUUUAUUGCAAACCAAUCCCACCUAUCUGGCCAAGCUAAUUUUUCAGA